CGGACGGGUGAGUAAUGUCUGGGAAACUGCCUGAUGGAGGGGGAUAACUACUGGAAACGGUAGCUAAUACCGCAUAACGUCGCAAGACCAAAGAGGGGGACCUUGGGCCUCUUGCCAUCGGAUGUGCCCAGAUGGGAUUAGCUAGUAGGUGGGGUAAGGCUCACCUAGGCGACGAUCCCUAGCUGGUCUGAGAGGAUGACCAGCCACACUGGAACUGAGACACGGUCCAG
RNAcentral lists this ribosomal RNA (230 nucleotides) under uncultured bacterium. RNAcentral's name for it is "partial 16S ribosomal RNA". It matches the Rfam family "Bacterial small subunit ribosomal RNA", at positions 99 to 334 of the family's 1533-position model. The record is from RNAcentral.